UGGGGAAUUUUGGACAAUGGGCGAAAGCCUGAUCCAGCCAUGCCGCGUGAGUGAAGAAGGCCUUCGGGUUGUAAAGCUCUUUUAGUCGGAAAGAAAAGAUCAUAAUGAACAAUUAUGAUUCAUGACGGUACCGACAGAAAAAGCACCGGCUAACUACGUGCCAGCAGCCGCGGUAAUACGUAGGGUGCGAGCGUUAAUCGGACUUACUGGGCGUAAAGGGUGCGCAGGCGGUUUUGUAAGUCAGAUGUGAAAUCCCCGGGCUUAACCUGGGAAUUGCGUUUGAAACUGCAAGACUAGAGUGCAGCAGAGGGGAGUGGAAUUCCAUGUGUAGCAGUGAAAUGCGUAGAGAUGUGGAAGAACACCGAUGGCGAAGGCAGCUCCCUGGGUUGACACUGACGCUCAUGCACGAAAGCGUGGGGAGCAAACA
RNAcentral lists this ribosomal RNA (427 nucleotides) under uncultured beta proteobacterium. RNAcentral describes it as "bacterial SSU rRNA". It matches the Rfam family "Bacterial small subunit ribosomal RNA", at positions 355 to 774 of the family's 1533-position model. Lineage: Bacteria; Pseudomonadati; Pseudomonadota; Betaproteobacteria. The record is from RNAcentral.